This 62-nucleotide transfer RNA is filed under the name Phycisphaerales bacterium. Its description in RNAcentral is "tRNA-Thr". It matches the Rfam family "tRNA", at positions 9 to 63 of the family's 71-position model. Rfam says of the family: Transfer RNA (tRNA) molecules are approximately 80 nucleotides in length. Their secondary structure includes four short double-helical elements and three loops (D, anti-codon, and T loops). Further hydrogen bonds mediate the characteristic L-shaped molecular structure. tRNAs have two regions of fundamental functional importance: the anti-codon, which is responsible for specific mRNA codon recognition, and the 3' end, to which the tRNAs corresponding amino acid is attached (by aminoacyl-tRNA synthetases). tRNAs cope with the degeneracy of the genetic code in two manners: having more than one tRNA (with a specific anti-codon) for a particular amino acid; and 'wobble' base-pairing, i.e. permitting non-standard base-pairing at the 3rd anti-codon position. Lineage: Bacteria; Pseudomonadati; Planctomycetota; Phycisphaerae; Phycisphaerales. The record is from RNAcentral.
AGCUCAAUUGGCAGAGCAGCGGUUUUGUAAACCGCAGGUUGCGGGUUCGAGUCCCACCAGUG